AUUGAACGCUGGCGGCAGGCCUAACACAUGCAAGUCGAGCGGAUGAAGGGAGCUUGCUCCUGGAUUCAGCGGCGGACGGGUGAGUAAUGCCUAGGAAUCUGCCUGGUAGUGGGGGAUAACGUCCGGAAACGGGCGCUAAUACCGCAUACGUCCUGAGGGAGAAAGUGGGGGAUCUUCGGACCUCACGCUAUCAGAUGAGCCUAGGUCGGAUUAGCUAGUUGGUGGGGUAAAGGCCUACCAAGGCGACGAUCCGUAACUGGUCUGAGAGGAUGAUCAGUCACACUGGAACUGAGACACGGUCCAGACUCCUACGGGAGGCAGCAGUGGGGAAUAUUGGACAAUGGGCGAAAGCCUGAUCCAGCCAUGCCGCGUGUGUGAAGAAGAUCUUCGGAUUGUAAAGCACUUUAAGUUGGGAGGAAGGGCAGUAAGUUAAUACCUUGCUGUUUUGGCGUUACCAACAGAAUAAGCACCGGCUAACUUCGUG
This 484-nucleotide ribosomal RNA is filed under the name uncultured bacterium. Its description in RNAcentral is "partial 16S ribosomal RNA". It matches the Rfam family "Bacterial small subunit ribosomal RNA", at positions 30 to 507 of the family's 1533-position model. The record is from RNAcentral.